This 594-nucleotide long non-coding RNA is filed under the name Cottoperca gobio. Its description in RNAcentral is "lncRNA (ENSCGOG00000013646.1)". The record is from RNAcentral. Lineage: Eukaryota; Metazoa; Chordata; Actinopteri; Perciformes; Bovichtidae.
CGGUAUACUGAUUUAAAUAAAGUUAAUUCAAAAAGAUAAAUCCUAUUUAUUUAUUUUUGUUAUUGUCUUUCUCUCAUUAUACCAUAUUUAAGUAUUUUCGUAAUUCAGAAUUCAAUAUUAGUUUGCAAUGUUCUGCUGUCACUCCCUUAAGUGGAUGCAGAAUCAAAGCCUCCAGAAAGCUGGAGAGACAGGGAGCCAACGGAAAGGGAGGUGAAGGCAGUCACCAUCCUGCAGGCUGGAUUUAAAGGACAUUUCGUGCGAGAGAUCUUUAAUGCGUCAAAACCAGGCACGAAGGAGAACCUCAGUGCGUCUAAGAUCCUUUUAGACAUGUGGCUGAAGGUUGAAUCGGAUGCAGAAAAACAUGCUGCCAUCUUGCUACGGUUUAUCAUUGACCACUCUGAGAGGAAAGCAGAGCUCUACUCCUGUCAGCAGGAUGAAUGGACCAGAGUUUCCUUCGCUGAUUACUCCGUCCCUCUUCAAGACACAGCCAACUCCUGGGUCUUGGUCUUUAGGUUAGAGAACAAUUGUAAUUUAAGGAUUGUUCGGUGUGUCAAUGAAAGAUAAUCCCUAACCUGCCUUGGAAAAUAUCCCCUU